Pelobates cultripes (western spadefoot toad) is the source of this 1317-nucleotide non-coding RNA. The record is from the annotation of a GenBank genome assembly. Lineage: Eukaryota; Metazoa; Chordata; Amphibia; Anura; Pelobatidae.
CCAUAAUAAUAUAUUUUUUGCAUAAAUAUCUGAUUGGAUUUACUGAGUUUUUUUUAAUUUUUUUAUUCAGAGCUGUGUAGGACACCCUAUAGGAGGUAAAUCCAACAGCCCAAUACUGAAUGAUAAUCACAUAUCAUCUUAUCGAGUAAGUACAUCAUACAAUAUACAAAGUGGGAAUCCGCCAUUACAAAUGAUCACAAGUCAUAUAUAACAAAUAAUACACUGCUGAUUAAAGGGACACUAUAGUCACCGGAACAACUACAGCUUAAUGUAGUUGUUCAGGUAUGAUCUAUAGCUCCCUGCAGGCAAUCUAAUGUAAACACUGUAUUUUCUGUAUUAUCUGUAUUAUCACCUUUAACUCAGUCAUUAUCAGAUUAAUACUUGGCUGGUGCAGGGUUUUAUUAUAAUACCUGCAAUUUGUAGAUUAACAAUUAUCGCUUUGCUAAUAAUUUUCUAAAAUCUUUUUACAUCUGUAUAAGUGUUAUCGAUGCUGUUCUGUUUUAAAAUCACUUUUCCCCCUCCAUUAUUAUGAUUAGUAUUAGUAUUUAUAUCAGGCAAACAUAUUCCACAGCACGUUACAAUUAUAGAAAGUGGAAGGCGUGAAGAAGGCCGUGCUCAAAUGACCUUUCAAUCUAUGAAAAUUUGAGCCCAUUCAUUUUACAAAACACAUUAAAUUCUCAGCUGAUGUCACUGCUAUACAAAGCAAUAUUGAGAAAAAGAUAAAGGGACCGCUCACUGCAGUGAUCUUUAUUUAGUAAUAUUCCAAAGAAGAAGGAGAGUGAAGUUGUUUUUUUAUUUUUUAAAACUUCAGAAAUGCUUUCAGAUACACAAAUAAAAUUUAUUGGGGCAUUCCUCUAAUUUUAUGAAAAAUCGCCUUUUAAUAACUGUUCUUUUUGAAGAUCUUGAGAAUGAGGAUGGGCACCAAAAUGGUCCUUGUUUUACCAGUCUCUUUCUCCCUUUUUGGGGAAUCACUAUUCAGAGAAAAUACAGUGUUUACAUUAAUUGAUAGGAAUAUCUCCAGUGGCUGUCACUCAGACGGCCACCAGAGGGACUUCCUAUCAUGUAGGGCCCUAAAAAGUUCUGCUGUAUACCCUAUGAGUAAAGCAGAGCAUUCAUUGUAUUGCCCUGUUAGAAUUACAUUUUAAAAAUGAUCUGUAUCGGUUUAUGGUUCUUCUUAGACUUCAUAGAAUUUCGAAAUACCAUUCAUCGAGUUGUUGGAGAUGUCAUAAAGAAUUAUGAACUAUUGACCACAUUUGGUGGGACUGUGAGGGAAUACAUGAUUUGAAAAGAAAACUGUUUCUAAAGGAACCAAGUCAA